Molecule: ribosomal RNA, 429 nt
Filed under: Gemmatimonadota bacterium
Lineage: Bacteria; Pseudomonadati; Gemmatimonadota
Description: Gemmatimonadetes bacterium partial 16S ribosomal RNA
Rfam family: Bacterial small subunit ribosomal RNA
Source: RNAcentral
UAGGGAAUCUUCGGCAAUGGACGAAAGUCUGACCGAGCAACGCCGCGUGAGUGAAGAAGGUUUUCGGAUCGUAAAACUCUGUUGUUAGAGAAGAACAAGGACGUUAGUAACUGAACGUCCCCUGACGGUAUCUAACCAGAAAGCCACGGCUAACUACGUGCCAGCAGCCGCGGUAAUACGUAGGUGGCAAGCGUUGUCCGGAUUUAUUGGGCGUAAAGCGAGCGCAGGCGGUUUCUUAAGUCUGAUGUGAAAGCCCCCGGCUCAACCGGGGAGGGUCAUUGGAAACUGGGAGACUUGAGUGCAGAAGAGGAGAGUGGAAUUCCAUGUGUAGCGGUGAAAUGCGUAGAUAUAUGGAGGAACACCAGUGGCGAAGGCGGCUCUCUGGUCUGUAACCGACGCUGAGGCUCGAAAGCGUGUGGAGCAAACAGG